UACGGAGGGUGCUAGCGUUGUUCGGAAUCACUGGGCGUAAAGAGCGUGUAGGCGGCCCGGUAAGUCCGCUGUGAAAGUCGGGGGCUCAACCCUCGAAUGCCGGUGGAUACUGUCGGGCUAGAGUGCGGAAGAGGCGAGUGGAAUUCCUGGUGUAGCGGUGAAAUGCGCAGAUAUCAGGAGGAACACCAAUUGCGAAGGCAGCUCGCUGGGACGUGACUGACGCUGAGACGCGAAAGCGUGGGGAGCAAACAGG
RNAcentral lists this ribosomal RNA (253 nucleotides) under uncultured bacterium. Its description in RNAcentral is "partial 16S ribosomal RNA". It matches the Rfam family "Bacterial small subunit ribosomal RNA", at positions 524 to 776 of the family's 1533-position model. The record is from RNAcentral.